CCCGGCGCGGCCGGCCGGUGGGCGGGCCCCCGGAGCGGGCCCCGGUGGAGCCCGAUCCGCACCGGGGCCGGAUCCGCCGGUCGCCGGCC
This 89-nucleotide transfer RNA is filed under the name Micromonospora sp. AKA109. Its description in RNAcentral is "tRNA-Ser". The record is from RNAcentral. Lineage: Bacteria; Bacillati; Actinomycetota; Actinomycetes; Micromonosporales; Micromonosporaceae.